UCAGAGGACGGCUGAAUGGAGUUGCAUUUCAGUGCCCACAGAUGGAGGUGAUGACUGAAGUGUGUUUGCUUAUGUGGGGAGUGAGAUGAUGGCUUUGGUGUCUGAGUGGAUGCUAGUGCCUUGAGUGGCCAGCAGAGGGCAGUGGUGACCCAUAGCUGUGACAACCGUGAGGCGUGUGGUCAGUGAAUCUGCAUGGGCACAACCUGAGAGGGGCUUUUGUUGGAGUGGGGAGAUUCUUUCGGACUUAAGCUUUGUGCGUGGUAUAUCCAGAAUCAGAUGGGCCAGUGCCAAGUUCAGUCAGGUUCUCAGCCUUACAGUGAAGGAAAAGGUUAGUGACUUGUAUUUCAGCCCAAAGCCUACUGGAAGUGUCAAGCUGCCAGCUCCCCUCUGCCCUCCCCGUUGCUAUGGCAGCCAUGUCUCUGUGUGUGAAUAGGUGAACCAGGCUCCAGGUUAGGACCUCUGCCCACCUAGCUCCAGGUUACAUGCAGGAAAAGAUCUGUCUAUUGCUGCAUGUGAACAAGGAGAUCCCAUAUUUCUAGCAGGUCACAGAGGCAGCAGUCCAUUAUCACUUGCCUGCCCACCUACCCUGGGCAACCAGCACAUGGCUCCUUAGACCUUGAAGAUGGAGGCCUGGGGACAGAAGGAGCAGAGUUGGGGGCUAGUGAUAGGGCCUGGGAAAUGUUCUUGUCUGUUUCAAGUUUAUCUUGUAUUUUGGGGCCCUGGUCUCCUCAGUCUUCCAGCCCAACAGGUGUGAGCGUCCAGGGCCACCACCCGGAAGCCAGCUGCCUCUUCAUGGGGAAAUCUUUGAAAUUCAAGGCUUGGCCAUCUGGAUAUGCAAAUGUUCCAGAUUUGCUGAGCCCACCAAGUGGCUGAGCCCCAGGCAUGGGAGAGCUUAGGCCAGCCUGUAUGUGUGUGUGCAGAAGGGGACUGCACAUGUGUUCAGGAGCUUGAGAGUGAGAAUUGUGAGCAUGUACACUCCUUAGUGUUUAUGCAUCAGGGUGUGAUGCAUAAACACGAAGGCUCUGUAGCCUUUGAAGAACAGGAUCAGAUCUGGGUUUGAAUCACAAGACCAUGGGUUUUCAGUUGGGCAAUAAACUUAUCUGUCUUUUGCUUUGAUUUUCUCAUCUAGAAAACGGGCACUUGGUCACCAGCCUGACCCAUAGGCAA
Molecule: long non-coding RNA, 1167 nt
Filed under: Homo sapiens (human)
Lineage: Eukaryota; Metazoa; Chordata; Mammalia; Primates; Hominidae
Description: non-protein coding lnc-UBE2D2-2:1
Source: RNAcentral